GCACCUUCUCAGGACAAGGCCAAGGCAAACGUGUAACUUCGAUUUGGUGUUGGGGCCAGCAAUAGGUCACAAUCUCCCCUGUGGGCAGAACCUAGGAAGAAGAGAAAAGUCACAUGAGCUAGAUUUAUUAAGGUUUCUAAACUGCUCUUCUCAGUGUCACCAAUCACAUGGACGUCACAAAUCACUGCAAAGUCAACAGACUCUUGUCUGCCCGCACAGUCUUCAGAAAAUGUGUCCAGGUGAAUUCAAAGCAAGGCAUUCUAAUUAGAACAAUGUACAGAAGGAAAGAAGGUAUGAGAGUCUGAGGGGAGUUUGAGGAACAGAAAGUAGACAGGGCAUCUCUGAAUUGGGGACUCUGAUUGGCCCAGAAGGAAUCAACUACUAUGUCUGCGUGCAUAAGAACAGAGAUAGGCAAAGUUGGCUGUAUGAAAUGGAACAUCCGGGCCACGUGCAGUGGCUCACACCUGUAAUCCCAGCACUUUGGGAGGCUGAGGCAGGAGGAUCACGAGGUCAGCAGGUCAAGACCAUCCUGGCUAACACAGUGAAACCCCAUCUCCACUAAAAAUAAAAAUAAAAAUAAUUAGCUGGGCAUGGUGGCACAUGCCUGUAAUCCCAGAUACUCAGGAGGCUGAAGCAGGAGAACUGCUUGAAUCCGGGAGGCAGAAGUUGCAGUGAGCCAAGAUCAUGCCACUGCACUGCAGCCUGGGUGACAGAGUAAGACUCCAUCUCAAAAAACAAACAAACAAACAAACAAAUAAAACAAAACAAAACAAAAAGAAAUGGAACAUCCUUGAGGCAAGCAAAAUCUAAAGAAUAACUGCUUAGGGUAGAAUAUUGGUUAAAUCCUGAGUCAACGUCUUGACUUAAAAGUGAAAGGUGCAAUGGCAAGUGUGUAGCACAUCAUGGGUGCACCACCCAAAUCCUCUCAGCCCUUCUCACUCCAGCCACUACUUCAGUGACCGGGGCUGAGCAGCCUUGUGGCAACUUCAGACAGAUGCUACCUGACUCUUGCUUCUUGCCAUGGGAUGAGCUGAUGCCAUGGCCUGCAGCAUCUGUGCACCUCAGCCUCAGUCCUUGCACAACCCAGAGAUGCCAGAGAGUGAACGCCUUGGGCUACCUUUCACCAAGCGGGGUUAGGGGCUGAGAAAGAGCUCCUAAGGCUCCUCAGAAAUGUUCUGCCCUAGUGAUGGCAAAUCCCAUACUCAUCCUUGUCUUGCCUUUCCCCUCAUCCGCAAGCUCUCCUCCUACACCUGUAGUCCCCAUUCUUGAUCUCAAUGAUCACAUCCCAAAUAGUCUACUUGCAUGCAAGCCUCUGUUUCAGGUCCCUGCCUUCAUGGGAACCCAGGCUGUGGAAACACUAGGUAAAAAUAAAUUAUCUACAGAAAGUCAGGGUCAGUCAGCAGAGGGUUGUGAAUGUCAAGGAGCCACAAAAGCAGAGUUGGGCUUUUGUGCAAACAAAUGCAGCAGAUCUGCAUGCCAGGGCGGUCCAGGGGAAAUCCCAAUAUUCCAAAUACAGUGAGAGACCCUAGGCAUCUUGGCUGGGCACCACAGAUAAUGUGCGGUUUCUUUACUGAACUUGCCCAUUCGAAUCCCAUCUGGCCAAGCAGUUUCUCAUCACUGUUUUGCAUUGUAUGGUCUAUGGCAGAGAAAGCACUGGUCAUAGCCCCUAUUUGCAUUUGGUGCCCACAGUGAAUGCCCCAUUCACAGAUUUUGAAGCUGCAGACUGAUCACCAGGAUCUGGAUGGUCAGGGCCACAGGCCUGGAGGCAGCAGGCCUUCUCUGCGCCUUGCCAAGCUGGACUUUCUCACACUUGCUGCACGAGCUGCUUCUCAGGAUAGGUGUGAAGGUUGAGGAGUGAGAGAGGGCAUGCCAAUGGCCAAGCACAGUCCCUCGUACACAGUAGGUGCUCUGGAAAGGCAGUUACACUGAUAGUAGACUGCAGGCAACAAUCAGAGGUCAUGGGUUCACGUGGGAGGGCCCCCAAUGUUUCUGGGGAGUCCUGCAGCCUCAUCCAAUAGGCAUUUGUCCUCUUAGUCCAACAAGCUAUCUGCCCUGGGUGUCAGCACUGAAUUUUCUCUGACAUUUUCCCUUUUCUUUUCUUCCUAUAAAUGAGAAAUGAAGUAUAAAAAGUUGUGCACAGCCUCCUGCCUGCAUCACGGCUCUUAGGCGAGAUGUUGGCAUUUAAAUGCCAGACAAUCUGGUGAAGUCAGGAUGAGGCCAGCCCCAGGCUUGUCUUGGGGUCAGGGGUAAGGGGCAGGGGUCCCCUCUGGUUUCUGAUUUAAUAAGAGGAUUGCUUCCAGCCAAAUGCAGGGCCAGCAAGGUCAGCAUUGAACACACGCAGCUCCACUGAGAAAUAAAGGGGCCAGAUGGUUAUUACACUGUGUGUGUUUCUUAUAAAAGGCAAAAAAAAAAAAAAAUUCUAGAGUGACUGCAGCAGAGGCUGUUCAUCAGCAGAGGCACAGUUCAGGGAGGCCUGUGGUUUGGUGCUGCUCCCCGGGGGAGGUGUACUUGUGAGGAGUUUCAACACGCCUGCAGAUCCCAUGAAGAUUUGGCUGUGGGCAGAAGCCACAGGGAUGGAGAGAGGCACAGCCACUUUGUGAAAAUGGAAAACACGCCACCCUCAUCUUAGCUUUCUUAGUUUCCCAUUUUGAUGCUCCAGAAAGCUUCUUAAGGGACAGCUGAUGACCACUGUAGCAGCUGACAGCCGUCACCACUACAGCCGUGUGAGUCCAACCUCACUCUGCCCCUCCCAGGGUAUAAACAUGAGCAACUCCAUUGAUCACACUAACUUUAGUUUGCUCUAUUGCAAGUAUGGACUAGAAACAUGUGACUCAUCCUCUAAUAACAAGGUAAUAUCAGAUAAUGUACCUAAGCCCCUGGUGCACAUCAGGCACUCCAGAAACACUGAGUGCCCCUCCUUCAUUCCUGGAGUCAAAUACAAGGGCAUUGAGAAGCCCUGAAGGAAGCCUCAUCAUCCCUUCCGGAGGAGGUGGAUGAAUGAGGAGCCCCAAGGAGUCACGCUGUUCAGCCCACUCAAACAAGGCUUGCGCCUGCUCCAUCUCAGGGUGUUCACUGUGGAGCGCCCAGAACCAGGAGCUCUCUGUGCUGAUGUGGCCCUCUUAAGGAUGGUGGUGGCAUUGUCACUGCUCUCCCAUGUUAAUUAACUGGGUUGUUAUUCCAAAGUGUUAA
This is a long non-coding RNA of Gorilla gorilla gorilla (western lowland gorilla), 3189 nucleotides long. RefSeq lists it as uncharacterized. NCBI's taxonomy places the organism in Eukaryota, Metazoa, Chordata, Mammalia, Primates, Hominidae. The record is from RefSeq and is a predicted model, not a curated record. The transcript is spliced from 3 exons.